Long non-coding RNA from Amphiprion ocellaris (clown anemonefish), 447 nucleotides. RefSeq lists it as uncharacterized. The transcript is spliced from 3 exons. The record is from RefSeq and is a predicted model, not a curated record. Lineage: Eukaryota; Metazoa; Chordata; Actinopteri; Pomacentridae.
CUAGCGUAUUUAGUCUGUGUAUGUCUGUGGUCGGCACGUCUGGUAGCAUCUCUGGCUGCUGUUGAUCUUGCUUUUGGAGUAAAACACGGUGGAAGCUGAAUUAGUGAGGAUGACUCCUGCUUCUGUCAUCUCUAAGCUCCUCACACAUCUUUACCUGCACAUGAGGAAAAUCACUUCUGUAGAAUGCAGAUGUUCAGAGGGAGAUGAUGCCACAUCUGGUCCAGCUGAUGGAAGGUCUUGAAGUUCUCUGACUGGCCUCGACUGAAGAUGGUCGUCUCACUGGAUUUAAGGUUCAGAUGCUCAGUAACAAACUCCACCAAUGAGCCAACAGGGAAGCUUUAGGUUUAUUAAAUGUUGCUAUGAAGGUUUCGCUGUUUUUCUUUGUGAAUGUAAUGUGCUCCAACCGAAACUUGAAUUAGAACUUAGAAGUAAAUCCUUCCAUCUGAA